UGGGGAAUAUUGGACAAUGGGCGCAAGCCUGAUCCAGCCAUGCCGCGUGUGUGAAGAAGGCCUUCGGGUUGUAAAGCACUUUUGUCCGGGAAGAAAAGCUCUGGGUUAAUACCCUGGGGUCCUGACGGUACCGGAAGAAUAAGCACCGGCUAACUUCGUGCCAGCAGCCGCGGUAAUACGAAGGGUGCAAGCGUUACUCGGAAUUACUGGGCGUAAAGCGUGCGUAGGUGGUUCGUUAAGUCUGCCGUGAAAUCCCCGGCGUCACCUGGGAAUGGCGGUGGAUACUGGCGGACUAGAGUGCGGUAGAGGGUGGUGGAAAUUCCCGGUGUAGCAGUGAAAUGCGUAGAGAUCGGGAGGAACAUCUGUGGCGAAGGCGGCCACCUGGACCAGCACUGACACUGAGGCACGAAAGCGUGGGGAGCAAACA
RNAcentral lists this ribosomal RNA (427 nucleotides) under uncultured Arenimonas sp. RNAcentral's name for it is "bacterial SSU rRNA". It matches the Rfam family "Bacterial small subunit ribosomal RNA", at positions 355 to 774 of the family's 1533-position model. Lineage: Bacteria; Pseudomonadati; Pseudomonadota; Gammaproteobacteria; Lysobacterales; Lysobacteraceae. The record is from RNAcentral.